Molecule: transfer RNA, 72 nt
Organism: Vittaforma corneae ATCC 50505
Lineage: Eukaryota; Fungi; Microsporidia; Nosematidae
Rfam family: tRNA
About the family: Transfer RNA (tRNA) molecules are approximately 80 nucleotides in length. Their secondary structure includes four short double-helical elements and three loops (D, anti-codon, and T loops).
Source: Rfam
GGAUGCGUAGCGCAAUGGUAGCGCAACGGUCUUCGGAACCGUUGGUUGCGGGUUCGAGUCCCGUCGCAUUCG